Dendrobium catenatum is the source of this 3832-nucleotide long non-coding RNA. RefSeq lists it as uncharacterized. NCBI's taxonomy places the organism in Eukaryota, Viridiplantae, Streptophyta, Magnoliopsida, Asparagales, Orchidaceae. The transcript has 2 exons. The record is from RefSeq and is a predicted model, not a curated record.
UUUUGUAUGAGCAUUCUGAUACCGGGGAAGGGGCCACCUUGUGGGGCCCAGGGGAGCUAUUUUUUCCUUACGGAUGGAGCUAUUUUUCAUUACGUAAGGACGAGGGAAUUAACAUUGGGAGGGAAUUAUUUAGGAAAACAGGUCCAAUUUAACUUCAAAUUUAAGAGAAAAAUUAUUUAAGGAAAGGAGGCUGAUUUGGGAAGGAAUUAUGAAAGAUUUAUUCAGGAAAAUUGUUGUUUUGAAUUUAAAUUUGGGAGAGAAUUAGGAAAUAUCUAUUUAGGGAAAGAGGGAUGAUAUAGUAAAGGUUUUAAUUGUGUUUAUUAUGUGUUAGGGCUAUUUGAGAAGGAGUUUGAUAGGUACUACUUGAGUAUUUCAAGUGAUUCCUAUCGGAUCUAAGCCAAAUCGCCACAAAUCCGCUGUUUUCUAUGAGAAAACAGCCACCAAACACGAAAAGAGUGGAAAAAUCUGAGAGAACUCGUAGGGAAAAUAGGAAAAACAAUAGCAAACGAUUGAAUUUCACUAGUCGAUGCAAAAGACAAGAAAGAUACAAGUUUCCUUCGAUUCGAGAGGACGGAAUAACUCUCCAAAUCUCUAGCCGUAGCCUAGAGCCCAAGAACACAAACCCUAGAUCUCCCAACCAAUUUCAAAUCCAAGAUAAUCCCCCCUUUUCCUCCUCACCUCCUAAUUAACCAUAAAGGAGUUUUACAAAAUGUCUAAACAGCCCCUCGCAUUCAAAAUUUCCCUCCCAAAACUCCUCCUUGGCCCCCGUCGGAUGAGCUCGGUUCCGCCCGCUGUUCCGCCCGCUCUGUGGGUUUCUGCCUCGAGUAGGUGUGGACCGGUCUGGUUUGGACCGGUCCAGCAAGCUCAAGUGCCGGCCUAACAGAGUUUUAGGUAAAAGGGUUAUAAUCUUAUGUAUGCUUGUGUUUGCUGAAAUUAGGAUUUUUUAAGUUGUGAGGGCUCUAGCCGGCAACUAGGGAUUUGGGAGAGCUGGAUCUUUCUCUCCAAUUGAAGAUAUAACUAUAUCUUGCUAUUUUCUUUCAUAUAUCUUGCAAUAAAAAGAUUUGUGGUGUUUCUUUUUCCCAAUUUUUUUUUUGUUGUUCGCUGAUUUGGUUGAAAUUGCAUCUAAUUUCUAUCAAAUUGGUAUCAGAGCCUAGAUCCGGGUACUUAUGGCAGGAAGAAUGGUAGAUGUGUUGGAAGGGAAGAUCGGACAAUUGAAAUCUGAUUAAAAAAAAAAUUUAAAACUCAAAUUUCAGCCAUCCAUGAGAAGUUCGAUGGGAAGUUUGCCAUCUUGGUGGAGAUGUUGAGGAAGCUUUGGAGAUGCAAUCUAAGGCUUCGUUUGGGACAGCUUUUUUAUUGCUUUUUAAAAUGGAGUUGUAGUACAAAUUUUUUAAUUUUUGUACUAAAACUCCGUUUUCAGAAGCAAUAAAAAAGCCGUCCCAAACAAAGCCUAAAACUCCAUUGAAGGUUCCGAUUUCUAGACCUAACCAAGAUUUGACCAGGAUUUCCUUGGCCAAUUCUAAGAGAAAUAAGAUGAACGGAAGGAAUUCGACAAUGUGAGUUUCUUUCAUCAAGAGUCACCUCCUAGGGCUCUGAUAAGGGGUGGAUCAGGUUUUUUGGAUGUGGGGACAAUAAUGAGGGAAUUUUGUGAUAGAGGUGGUGGAGUGGUCGUCCACUAUGAGAGGCAUUUCGGGCAAGAGGAUCGGAUGACUGGAUAUGGAGGGGGUCGAGCUGAGCCAUAGGGAUCAAAUCAUGCAAGUAGGGUGGAAGAAAGGUGGGAUUCUCACUCUCGAUACACAGGGGGAAUCAUUGGAGGGAGAGGAAGUUGGAGUGGAGAUGCUAGGGUAAGGAAGUUAGGAUGCUAAUAUUUGAAGGGGAUGAUGCCUAUGAGUGGGUGUACUGGGUGGAGACGAUGAAUGUGUUGAAUGAGAAGGAGAAGCUUACGGCCACAUGGCAAUGUAUUGAAGGGAAAGCCCUAGCUUGGUUCUAGUGGAUGAUAUCAUGGCCAAUAAUUAAGCAGCUUAAGAAGGACAAUUUCAAUUGGGGGAAAGCGACAAUAUAAGCAGCAGAAGAAAGCCAUGACCAGCAUCCCAUCCUUCCACCUUGAGGACAAUGUGCGGGGGGAGGGGAGUAUUGAUAUGCCAUGGGGGAAAAGGCCACCUUGUGGGGCCCAGGACAACUAUUAUUCAUUAUGUAAGGAGUUCUCAAUGGGGAGUUGUUUAGGAAAGUUUGAAUUAAAAUUGGGAAGGAAUUAUUUAGGAAAAGAGAUCCAAUUUGAGUUUAAGGAAAGGAGACUAAUUUGGGAAUGAAUUAAGAAAGAUUUAUUUAGGGAAAGAUAGCUGAUUUGAAUUUAAAUUUGAGAGAGAAUUAUGAAAGAUUUAUUUAGAGAAAAAUGAUAUUUUAGGAAAGGUUUUAAUUGUGUUUAUUGUGUGUAAGGGCUAUUUAAGGAGUUUUGUCUAGGGUUAUUAUCUUAUGUAUGCUUGUGUUUGCUGAAAUUAGGAUUUUUUAGGUUGUGAGGGUUCUAGCCGACAGCUAUAGAUUUGGGAGAACUGAAUCUUACUCUCCAAUUGAAGAUCCAAUUGUAUCUUGCUAUUUUUUUCAUAUAUCUUGCAAUGAGAUAUGUGGCGUGUUCUUCUUCCCAAUUUCUUAUUGUUGUUCGCUGAUUUGAUUGAAAUCGCAUAUACUUCCUAUCACAUUCCCAAAAUAUACUUAUGAACUAUUUCUGGAAGAGAUGAUGUGUAGGGAGCCAACAUUAUUUGAGUUAACGGCAUACUUUUACGGAUCAAAGAUGAGUGAUGCAUUGUGGGUGGAAUUAAGAUCUGCCAGAUAACAUAACAAUUACAGACGAUUGAGAGAAGUUAAAUCGAGUUAGGGCUCUGUAGUAGAAAGUUCUUCACAGCCAUCAUACAUCGAGCUAUUUUUUUUUUCCAUCACGAGCUCUGCGUAAAUCAUACAUCGAGCUAUGAAUGUGAGUUGCUGGGGGGAGCAAAACAAGACAUAUGUAUGGUGUUGGCUCAAUGAUGGUGUAUUAAAUACACCGUCAAUUUAUAGUUCUAGCUAAAUGUAAUCACAUAUGGAUGGUCAUAUACUAAUGAUUAUAUAGAGUAAAAUAGUUGCCUUUUAUGCAGAUCUCGAGAUCUCAAUGCAAGCUCAUAAGACAGCAAUGGGGGCUAAAUAUCAAUGUAUGUUAGUGGAGAUGUACUAUCUUUAUGUUCGAGAUGAGAGUAGUGAGUAGGGGUGUCAAUAUUUAACCCAAUAUGAACAUGACCUAAAAAUUUUUGGGUUCAGGUCAACUUGUUUUGCAAACAGGUCGGUUUGGUUUUAUUUUCUAACCCGUUUUUAAUUUUGAGUCGGGUUUGAGUCAAACUGAAAAUCUGAAAUCAACCCAAAAGUGACUUGGGUCACCCCUCGCCUGUAGCUAUCCAACACUCGCGCCUGCAGCCAUCCCCCUCACUCACAUCGGUGCCCCCACCCGCGCCAACGCCCACAUCCGCGCCCGCGAUAGCCCGCACACGCUUGUCGCCUCGCCUACUGGCCCCGCUCUCGCACCUUCGCCCACAGGCGCUCGUGCCCUCACCCGGUCGUGCCUGGUUGCAUUGCGGGUUAGUGGGUCGGGUUGGGUCAACUCAGGUUAGAGGUGGGCCUGCUCCAGAUUUGGAUUUCUGCCCCAUUUGUAAUUGAAGGCGGGUUAGUUUUAGAUUGGACCCGACCCUAAAAAUGGGAGGGACCGAGGGAGAUUGAAUAAUAAACCUGCUAUAUAUUUUCAUUUGAAGUUUUGAUUCACUCUUUCUAUUUAUGACUAUUUGUAACUGUUUAUGUAUAAACACAUUUCUUA